RNAcentral lists this ribosomal RNA (223 nucleotides) under Pediococcus pentosaceus. RNAcentral's name for it is "partial 16S ribosomal RNA". It matches the Rfam family "Bacterial small subunit ribosomal RNA", at positions 73 to 291 of the family's 1533-position model. The record is from RNAcentral. Lineage: Bacteria; Bacillati; Bacillota; Bacilli; Lactobacillales; Lactobacillaceae.
UGAGAUUUUAACACGAAGUGAGUGGCGAACGGGUGAGUAACACGUGGGUAACCUGCCCAGAAGUAGGGGAUAACACCUGGAAACAGAUGCUAAUACCGUAUAACAGAGAAAACCGCAUGGUUUUCUUUUAAAAGAUGGCUCUGCUAUCACUUCUGGAUGGACCCGCGGCGUAUUAGCUAGUUGGUGAGGUAAAGGCUCACCAAGGCAGUGAUACGUAGCCGAC